RNAcentral lists this ribosomal RNA (399 nucleotides) under uncultured Lactobacillus sp. Its description in RNAcentral is "bacterial SSU rRNA". It matches the Rfam family "Bacterial small subunit ribosomal RNA", at positions 64 to 446 of the family's 1533-position model. Lineage: Bacteria; Bacillati; Bacillota; Bacilli; Lactobacillales; Lactobacillaceae. The record is from RNAcentral.
AAACUAACAGAUUUACUUCGGUAAUGACGUUAGGAAAGCGAGCGGCGGAUGGGUGAGUAACACGUGGGGAACCUGCCCCAUAGUCUGGGAUACCACUUGGAAACAGGUGCUAAUACCGGAUAAGAAAGCAGAUCGCAUGAUCAGCUUUUAAAAGGCGGCGUAAGCUGUCGCUAUGGGAUGGCCCCGCGGUGCAUUAGCUAGUUGGUAAGGUAAAGGCUUACCAAGGCGAUGAUGCAUAGCCGAGUUGAGAGACUGAUCGGCCACAUUGGGACUGAGACACGGCCCAAACUCCUACGGGAGGCAGCAGUAGGGAAUCUUCCACAAUGGACGCAAGUCUGAUGGAGCCACGCCGCGUGAGUGAAGAAGGUUUUCGGAUCGUAAAGCUCUGUUGUUGGUGAA